This 247-nucleotide ribosomal RNA is filed under the name uncultured bacterium. RNAcentral's name for it is "partial 16S ribosomal RNA". It matches the Rfam family "Bacterial small subunit ribosomal RNA", at positions 94 to 334 of the family's 1533-position model. The record is from RNAcentral.
AGCGGCGGACGGGUGAGUAACACGUGGGCAACCUGCCUAUAAGACUGGGAUAACUUCGGGAAACCGGAGCUAAUACCGGAUAAUUCAUAUCUACUCAUGUAGGUAUGCUGAAAGACGGUUUACGCUGUCACUUAUAGAUGGGCCCGCGGCGCAUUAGCUAGUUGGUGAGGUAACGGCUCACCAAGGCAACGAUGCGUAGCCGACCUGAGAGGGUGAUCGGCCACACUGGGACUGAGACACGGCCCAG